AUGACUGUAACUAGUUUCCUCUUUCAACAGAACCCUUCCUUUCCUGGAUCCAGCCCCUCACAAAGGUGGGGCACAAGCUCUCUCUCCAGCACUUUUCCUUGUCUGGAGCUUAUCUCUCCUCUUCAUAACGGUGCUGAACUGGCGGAAGGAACCUCCAGGUGUCGGAGGAAAGAGGAAGAGUCUCCGAGGAGGUGGGUGAAUCUGGUACCUGUAGGUGGAGCGGAACCGGUGCUCAAUAAUGGCUCGUCUUCCAGGGACAAGGUGAGCUGUCUGUGCGAGGAGCCCAAAUCCAGCCAGCAGGACCAGGACAACAGGGCGACCAAACCGAAGACCUUGUUUCCAGGGACCAGACCAACCAAAACAAAGCCAGACCCUCCGGCUGCUGUGGCUUCAGUGGAGAUUUUAAAGAGAGUGGGACAGAGCGGCCUUAUGAUCAGCUGGGAGAGGCCACCGCUGGACGAGCUGGGCUGCAGUAACGGCACCUUUGUGAGCGGAUACAUGAUCUGUGUCAACGGCGAGUUCCGCAAAUCUGUCGUGAGCUCAGCCUGUACCAAGGUAAAAGCUGCACCCUCCGCAGCAUUUCUGAGACAUGCUGUAGCUUUUAAUUUAUUUAAAUGUAUUCAAAUUUAUUAAUACUGCAGAAACACUCACCAAGUCAAGUGAACGCUGUAAAGUUAAGCAGAUUUUUCACUUUUCAAAGGAAAGCAGAAUUAUAGCCCCUCCUCAUGCAGGAGUCCUGAUGACUUUGGAAACACGCACGCACGCACGCACGCACGCACGCACACACACACACACACACACACACACACACACGCGCGCGCACACACAUUGUGUGUCUCUGUGCCCUCAGACAGUUCUGGAGAACCUGGAUCUGUCUCUGUCGCUGCACAUCAGUGUCCAGACCUUGGGCUCUAAUGGGCUCCUUGCUGAGAAGGUGUAUGUCCUCUCCAAGGGCAUGAGUCCCCCUCCUGGAUCAGCGCCCCCCCCGCGCAUUCACCGACACCGUUGGACAGCACAGCCGGUUAGACCUGCGCGCGCACACAAACCGAAAUGGACAUGGACACCCACUCGCUGAAACAUACACAGGUGCAAAUGGUGUCAUUGUUUCCCCAUCAGUUUCACACCCACUUUCACUUCACUGCAAUAACUGAAAAUCUGUUGAAAAUC
This 1167-nucleotide long non-coding RNA is filed under the name Scleropages formosus (Asian bonytongue). RNAcentral's name for it is "lncRNA (ENSSFOG00015028074.1)". The record is from RNAcentral. Lineage: Eukaryota; Metazoa; Chordata; Actinopteri; Osteoglossiformes; Osteoglossidae.